This 371-nucleotide ribosomal RNA is filed under the name uncultured bacterium. RNAcentral's name for it is "bacterial SSU rRNA". It matches the Rfam family "Bacterial small subunit ribosomal RNA", at positions 30 to 402 of the family's 1533-position model. The record is from RNAcentral.
AUUGAACGCUGGCGGAAUGCUUUACACAUGCAAGUCGAACGGCAGCACGGACUUCGGUCUGGUGGCGAGUGGCGAACGGGUGAGUAAUAUAUCGGAACGUAUCCAAUAAUGGGGGAUAACUAAUCGAAAGGUUGGCUAAUACCGCAUACGCCCUACGGGGAAAGCUAGGGACCUUCGGGCCUGGCGUUAAUGGAGCGGCUGAUAUCUGAUUAGCUAGUUGGUGAGGUAAAGGCUCACCAAGGCGACGAUCAGUAGCUGGUCUGAGAGGACGACCAGCCACACUGGAACUGAGACACGGUCCAGACUCCUACGGGAGGCAGCAGUGGGGAAUUUUGGACAAUGGGCGCAAGCCUGAUCCAGCCAUUCCGCGU